CGCUGGCGGCUGCUUACACAUGCAGUCGAACGGCAGCACAGUAGAGCUUGCUCUAUGGGUGGCGAGUGGCGGACGGGUGAGUAAUGCAUCGGGACCUACCCAGACGUGGGGGAUAACGUAGGGAAACUUACGCUAAUACCGCAUACGUCCUACGGGAGAAAGCGGGGGAUCGCAAGACCUCGCGCGGUUGGAUGGACCGAUAUGCGAUUAGCUAGUUGGUGAGGUAACGGCUCACCAAGGCGACGAUCGCUAGCUGGUCUGAGAGGAUGAUCAGCCACACUGGGACUGAGACACGGCCCAGACUCCUACGGGAGGCAGCAGUUGGGGAAUAUUGGACAAUGGGCGCAAGCCUGAUCCAGCAAUGCCGCGUGUGUGAAGAAGGCCCUCGGGUUGUAAAAGCACUUUUAUCAGGAGGCGAAAUCUGCAAGGUUAAUACCUUUGCAGUCUGACGGUACCUUGAGGAAUAAGCACCCGGCUAACUCCGUGCCAGCAGCCGCGGUAAUACGGAGGGUGCAAGGCCGUUAAUCGGAAUUACUGGGCGUAAAGCGUGCAGUAGGCCGGUUCGUUAAGUCUGCUGUGAAA
This 582-nucleotide ribosomal RNA is filed under the name uncultured bacterium. RNAcentral describes it as "bacterial SSU rRNA". It matches the Rfam family "Bacterial small subunit ribosomal RNA", at positions 34 to 599 of the family's 1533-position model. The record is from RNAcentral.